Molecule: regulatory RNA element, 105 nt
Organism: Clostridium tyrobutyricum DIVETGP
Lineage: Bacteria; Bacillati; Bacillota; Clostridia; Eubacteriales; Clostridiaceae
Rfam family: azaaromatic riboswitch aptamer (yjdF RNA)
Source: Rfam
AGCUGUAGAGAUAAAAACACAGUCCCGGUUGGUAGUCCGGGCCUGCCAAAGUUAAGGCAGAAGUAACCUUCCCUCCUGGGGUCGUCCAUUCUUUGAUAUUUGAUU